RNAcentral lists this ribosomal RNA (253 nucleotides) under uncultured bacterium. RNAcentral's name for it is "partial 16S ribosomal RNA". It matches the Rfam family "Bacterial small subunit ribosomal RNA", at positions 524 to 776 of the family's 1533-position model. The record is from RNAcentral.
UACGUAGGGUGCAAGCGUUGUCCGGAAUUAUUGGGCGUAAAGAGCUCGUAGGCGGUCUGUCACGUCGGCUGUGAAAACCCGAGGCUCAACCUCGGGCCUGCAGUCGAUACGGGCAAACUAGAGUACUGCAGGGGAGACUGGAAUUCCUGGUGUAGCGGUGAAAUGCGCAGAUAUCAGGAAGAACACCUAUGGCGAAGGCAGCUCUCUGGGACGGUACUGACGCUGAGACGCGAAAGCGUGGGGAGCGAACAGG